UGAACUUAAAUUUGUAUGGAGUUGGAACGUUUGCCUAAGUUUGCCGGUAGGGGCGCUGUUCCAACUCCAUACUUUGAGUUA
This 81-nucleotide microRNA precursor is filed under the name Bombyx mori (domestic silkworm). RNAcentral describes it as "mir-2807 microRNA precursor family". It matches the Rfam family "mir-2807 microRNA precursor family". Lineage: Eukaryota; Metazoa; Arthropoda; Insecta; Lepidoptera; Bombycidae. The record is from Rfam by way of RNAcentral.